RNAcentral lists this ribosomal RNA (253 nucleotides) under uncultured bacterium. RNAcentral's name for it is "partial 16S ribosomal RNA". It matches the Rfam family "Bacterial small subunit ribosomal RNA", at positions 524 to 776 of the family's 1533-position model. The record is from RNAcentral.
UACGUAGGGUGCGAGCGUUAAUCGGAAUUACUGGGCGUAAAGCGCGUGUAGGCGGCUCUUCAAGUCAGGCGUGAAAGCCCCGGGCCCAACUCGGGAACUGCGCUUGAUACUGUCGAGCUAGAGUGUGGAAGGGGCGAUUGGAAUUCCGUGUGUAGCGGUGAAAUGCGUAGAUAUACGGAGGAACACCAGAGGCGAAGGCGGAUCGCUGGGCCAACACUGACGCUGAGACGCGAAAGCUAGGGUAGCAAACGGG